CGGCACGGCUUCUCCCCGAACCCGCCCCCCUCACGCUUUUGGUUGACACAGUCGCGAGGCGCAUCAGAGGUAUUCAGAUUUAGAUGAUCACUAAACCUAUAAGCCAUAAAGAAAUGGGAGAUGCAGAAUGGAUGGGCUUUGGCCUUCAGGAGGGAUGAACCCGCUCCAAGGAAACAGAAGUGACGUGACCUCUGUCAGAAGUAGUUACCCCCAGAGCCCAGCCUCCUCCCAAGCAGUCUCUGGGUGCUGUCCAUGUACGGCAGGGAUAUCCUCUCCCACAUGGACCAUAUCAAGGCCAGCAUCACCUCCACAUUUAGUUCCAUCUUAAAGAUGGACUCAACCAAAAAGGUCAAAUAUAACGUGACUGUGUAUUUGAUUUCCAUGUUUGUUAAACUCUCUUAUAAACAAUAACAUUAAAAACUAGUUUUUAUUAUAAAUGUGUUCGGUUAUAAAUCUGGAAACAUUAACUGCUAUA
Molecule: long non-coding RNA, 475 nt
Organism: Trematomus bernacchii (emerald rockcod)
Lineage: Eukaryota; Metazoa; Chordata; Actinopteri; Perciformes; Nototheniidae
Exons: 3
Source: RefSeq, a predicted model, not a curated record